Molecule: ribosomal RNA, 611 nt
Filed under: Limnebius aguilerai
Lineage: Eukaryota; Metazoa; Arthropoda; Insecta; Coleoptera; Hydraenidae
Also listed under: 2 other names
Description: partial 16S ribosomal RNA
Rfam family: Bacterial large subunit ribosomal RNA
Source: RNAcentral
GUCUUUUAGAUUAUAAUUUAAAGUCUGGCCUGCCCUAUGAAAAAUUAAAUGGCCGCAGUAUUUUGACUGUGCAAAGGUAGCAUAAUAAUUAGUUUUUUAAUUGAAAGCUGGAAUGAAAGGUUGAACGAAAAAAUAUCUGUCUCAAUUUAAUUUAAUUAGAAUUUUAUUUUUUAGUAAAAAAGCUAAAAUAAUUUUUAAAGACGAGAAGACCCUAUAGAGUUUUAUAUUUUAAUAUCAUAUAUUUUAUAGAAUUAUUUUAUGAUUUUAAAUAUUUUAUUGGGGUGAUAAAUAAAUUUAAAUAACUUUAUUAAUUUCUUACAUUAAUAUAUGAUUAAUUGAUCCAUAAAAAUGAUUAAAGAUUAAAUUACCUUAGGGAUAACAGCGUUAUUUUUUUUUAGAGUUCUUAUCGAAAAAAAAGAUUGCGACCUCGAUGUUGGAUUAAAAUUUAUUUAUGGUGUAGAAGCUAUAAUAUUAGGUCUGUUCGACCUUUAAAAUUUUACAUGAUCUGAGUUUAAACCGGUGUGAGCCAGGUUGGUUUCUAUCUUAAAAUAAGUAAAAUAUUUUAGUACGAAAGGACCAAAUAUUUAUAAAAUUUAUUAAAUUUUGAAUAC